UGGACCCAGAGACCUCCAGGCACUGAGGACUGCGUCUCCCGGAAGUAUUUCCCUGAGAAAUUGCAGAGGACCUCAGUCCUGCAACUCACACAGAGGCUGUUCUUCGUGGCCGGAACCGGACCCCACGCCCUCUGGGGCACAUCCCUGAGUGCGAGCACUCUUCUCUCGCCCUCCUCCCACCCAGGCACCGUCCCAACUGGGCACUGCCUUGCUAUGCCCCACAUCUCCCACAAGGGGGAGCCGCCGGAGGGCAGCUGGGGCUGCGGAAUUUUGGAAGCGCAGAAGUUUUCUCCUCCUGUCCUGUAACUGGUUUUCACUCACUCAACUGAGAGAUUUCUUUGUUGCAAUGAUGGGGUCUAAGAUAACACUUCUGGAGGCUGCAGGCGAGAAACACAGCUGAUAUCAUCUUUUAUUGUGUGUUGUUAUUUGCCUAGCAUUAUAAAUUAAGGAGGAAUAGUAACAAAGAGCUUGAAGACAUGCACAGCUCACAGGCCCCGGGUGGAGGCUGGCGACAUCAGACAGACAGAACCAAGACAUCUGAGGGGCAACCAGGAGGUGCGUGUGGCUGCAGAGCACACAGACUUGUCUUUGGACAAAAUUGAGAAGAACUCAUAAACUUGGCUUCCUCGCUUCUGCUCCUCAGACGCGCGUGGAUGAUUUGAAGAUAUUAGCCUAACAAGAUGGAAGCAGGUUUAAAAUUUUACAUAAGAAGUUACCUUUUUCAGUUGUGUUGAUGUUCCUUUCAGCUGGUCCUAUAGUACCCCUCCUCAGGAAUGUCUCCCCAGUGCAAGGACAAAGACUGAAGAGACUGCUAUAUUGAUGGACUCUCAAGCCAACUAUGAAGUUGAAACAAAGAAAGUGAUCACCUGAAGACACCUCCUCUGCUAAGAAACACCCCCAAAUUGUGCAGCUUCUGCCACUAGAACUCUCAGAACAAGAGACAAUCUUUUCAAGAAACAGAAAAACUCAAUAAUGACAUCUAGAUUUUCAUGAGCCAAGAACUUUCCCUUCCUCAUGUGUAUUCCUCUGUUUGUACUUAAAUUCAUGUGACAUUCAUUUUUUUCCUAGUAUGGAUAUGCUUAUUAAUGCACUUGUUUCAAAAUCCCAAAUUGCACAAAUGUGUUAAUAUUUUAAGAAACAAAAUGAAUCCUACAAGGAGAAUGAUUUUUAGCCACACAUAGGGUUGGAUCUUGAGAGUGACCUACAGAAUAAAAGUACUUUUAAAAUAAAGUAGUCAGAGGCUAUUCAAAGGGUAAAAUAAUCAUAGUACCACAUUGGUCCACUUGACACUAACCAAUCGAUCAUUUUUUUUUAAUCAAGAAAGCUAGAUUCUAUCAGAUAAAAUCACUGCUUCUAAAGAGUUUAAAUCUAGUUAGAAAAAGUUAUAGAAAUGUUUGCAAAGAUAAGUAACAGAUAGAGUCAGUAGAGGAUAAGAUCAAAAACAAAACCAAGCAAAAGAUGAGUUCAGGGGAGUUUGCCAUCAAGUUGGCAAAACUGACUUACUUAGGGAAGAAAGUUAUAAAACAGGAAAAUAUGAGAUGAACCUUGAGUGAUGUGGAAGAUUUAGAUAAAUGGAAAGGAAGGAGAAAAUGGAGUUCUUUAGGUGGUUGUAAUUGGAGGAGGAAAUGAAUACACACAUCUUGUUGACUUAAACCCAGACAUUCAGCAGCUCUCUAUACAUAUCUGGAAAAGACUGCACAGUCACCUCCUGUCUCUCACCCCAGGUAUUACUUAGAAUUAUUAUCAUAUUUCCCUUCCUUUAAAGUAAGUAAGGGUGAUUGGUGACAAUAUGGAGAACUAUGAUUUUUCCAUUAACCUAAUAAUAAUUGGUAUUUAUUGAGUUCUGUUAAGCAUUUUACAUAUUAACUCACUUAAGCCUUUCAACAGCCUUGCAAAAUAGGUAUUAUUAUCCCCAUUUUACAGGCAAGAAAACUGAGGUUUAAGUAACUUGCCGAAGUGCCAUAUACAGGGCUCACAUUCAGUAUUGCAGUUGCAAAGCUCAUGAUCUAUAGUGCCAAGUUGCAAUAUUGUAGUCAAUGUCACAAUUAUUACCCCUUUUUAUAUUCCUUGAUAUUUUUCCAUGGCAAACAAUUAGCUAUUUCAUUUAAUAAUCACCUAAAACUUUUCAGUCUUCUGAUUAAAAUUACGCUGGAGUGAUAGAAUGUAUUUUCAUGAUAGAAAUUGGGAAAAAAAAUGGGGAAUGAAGUUUAUCAGCAUUUCAGACUUGUUUUUUUUUUUUUUUUUUGCAAGACUUUGAUGAGAUUGUUCACUUUUGUCUAUGUAAAAUCCCAAAUCCUUGAGAAUAAAAAAGGGGGAGGUUUAAGUCACUUGUUGCAAUGCCCUUUUUAAUAGAGGCAAUAAAUCUAAAGGCCAUAAAUUUAGAGUGACUUACAGAAGAUCGAACUUUGGAGUGUGGCAGAGUAAGGGAUGGAAACCGGGCCCUCCAGUUCACUAUCAGUAGCUUUUGCACUGGUCUGCCCUUCCUAAAUUAAGUAUGCACUUCAAUUUGAUGAGUGGAAACAGUCUAUCUGGGCAGUAACCAGGGAGCUUUGUGCCUAGUAGAUUGCUUCUGUUCUGCACUUCUUUGGUUUCCCACCUCAAUGUAAAAAAUAGCUAGCAAUGAAGUCCAGAAGUUGUCAAUGGUUCAUCCCCAGAAGAAUGCAUAAUGUCCAAAGUUGUAUGUGUAUGAUGUCUUCAAUGGUAUUAAGUUAUUUCAAAUUCUUAGUUCACCUACAUAAAUCAUUUCUAACAAGCAUCUUCUUAACCAACUUUAUGCACAGUGUAUGUUUGUAAGUGCUUCUGCACGAAUGUUUAUACAUGACUGUUUCCAUAGUACUUAUGUUUUUAAAAAUAUUCAGUCAUUUCCUACUAUAAUCCUCAUGUAUCCAUGUAACUGACUCAAAAAUACUUCAGCCACAGAAAGCUAAAACUGAGCAAAUCUCAUUCUUCUUUUCCAUCCCCUUUGCAUGUGGCUGGCAUUUAGUAAUGAUUAAUAAUAUGGCCAGCUGAAUAACAGAGGUUUGAGACACAAUUCUUUCUCAAAGGAGUCAGCUAAGCUGGGUCUACUUAUGGACAAACAUCUAAAUGUGUGGAAGUAUCUGAUAUUUGACAAUGGUAAAUUUCCACUUAGCUAGCUAGCAUUGUCAGACUUCAAUCUCCUCAUGGCUCUGGCCGUCCUGUUUUAAGCAUGAUAAUUGUUGGCCACAUCUCACAUAGUUCUCAUUGAGUGAGUUCAUAAAUAAACAGGGUUUUUUUUUUUUUUUAAAGAGCAGCCAAGCACAAAGUGUGACUUUGUUGACAUUUUAUGUGACUUUGUCAUAUGUUCCUAACCCCCAAUAAAAGCAAUGUUGCAUCAACUGUGAA
This 3363-nucleotide long non-coding RNA is filed under the name Homo sapiens (human). RNAcentral's name for it is "PREDICTED lncRNA (TCONS_00050714)". Lineage: Eukaryota; Metazoa; Chordata; Mammalia; Primates; Hominidae. The record is from RNAcentral.